This 348-nucleotide unclassified non-coding RNA is filed under the name soil metagenome. RNAcentral's name for it is "partial contains 5.8S ribosomal RNA, internal transcribed spacer 2, and large subunit ribosomal RNA". The stretch from base 1 to 120 matches the Rfam family "5.8S ribosomal RNA", at positions 35 to 154 of the family's 154-position model. The record is from RNAcentral.
GUUGAAGAACGCAGCGAAAUGCGAUAAGUAAUGUGAAUUGCAGAAUUCAGUGAAUCAUCGAAUCUUUGAACGCACAUUGCGCCCGCCAGUAUUCUGGCGGGCAUGCCUGUCUGAGCGUCAUUUCAACCCUCAUGCCCCUAGGGCGUGGUGUUGGGGAUCGGCCAAAGCCCGCGAGGGACGGCCGGCCCCUAAAUCUAGUGGCGGACCCGUCGUGGCCUCCUCUGCGAAGUAGUGAUAUUCCGCAUCGGAGAGCGACGAGCCCCUGCCGUUAAACCCCCAACUUUCCAAGGUUGACCUCAGAUCAGGUAGGAAUACCCGCUGAACUUAAGCAUAUCAAUAAGCGGAGGA